This is a long non-coding RNA of Alosa alosa (allis shad), 1258 nucleotides long. RefSeq lists it as uncharacterized. NCBI's taxonomy places the organism in Eukaryota, Metazoa, Chordata, Actinopteri, Clupeiformes, Clupeidae. The transcript is spliced from 2 exons. The record is from RefSeq and is a predicted model, not a curated record.
GACAUUUGUUUUGCUUAGAUUUGCUUUCAUUUGUUUAAAUAAGAUUCAGCUAAUGUUAAAAAAAGAUUGGCUUAAUCACAGAAUUAGACAUUCUAUGCUCUCAGCACUGUAAUGUUUACAUCACAGAGGCCUUAAGGUUCCAUUCCAUUGACAUAAUGAAGACUGGACACUAGUUAAAUGGAACACAAAAAGCUUUGUGAUGCAAUUAUGGCAUAAGAUAACAAGAUUCUAAAGUCACAGCUAUCCAUUUCUUAACCAUUCGUGUCUUUUUCAAAUGAUGUACAACCUGAUUUACAACUCCUUAUCCAACUACUUGAUAUUUUUCUAAGCUUUGAUUCAAUACCUUCUUGUUGAACUAUAAGGACUUCUGUCAAAACAGUUUCCUGCAUCAUCCCUCUUAAAAAUGAGUGGCAGGAGCAGAAAGAGGAAACAGUCCUCUCGACAGUCUCGACGAGCUGUUCAACUAAACAGCGGCUAUUACUUGCUGUCUAGCCAGGAUGGACCAGGGUCCUCUAUCAGUCACCACACUGAUCUACAGGACCAGUUGAGAGCUGACCCCCUCUUUCUUCUGAGGGGUGAUGUUCUCUUAAGUGAUGAUGAGGACUUAAGAUGGUCCAAGAGGUCCAGACCAAUUGAGUCCACAUUGCCAACCAAUGGCAGAAGGUCCCCACAACCAGGGACCUCACGAGACCUCUAUGCCCACUCAGAAUUGCAACAGAGAGCAAGGUCACCAUCUCCACCAAGGGCAGCCAUACCCAUUGCCACUAUUAGUGAUGGUGAAGAUACUGCACUACCAUCCGUGGCAAGGGCAAACACACCUCCAAUCAUCAUGAGUGAUGAUGAUGAUGAUGAUGAUGAAAAUGAACAAGAAAAUGUCAUUUUUGUUGGCAUGCUUCGCCCUCCUCAGGUUGAGCUUGAUUUCUUCCUAGCACGUCAAUUGGACAUAAUCGAAGCCAAUAACCGCCUCCCCAUGAAUGUCACUUAUGACCUUCCCACCAUGAUCUUCAGUGCUGAGUGCGCCAAUGGAAAGAGCGAUUGUGGGAUCUGUCUGAGCGACUAUGUGGAAGGAGAACAGCUCAUGACUCUGCCCUGCAACCACAAUUUCCACAGAAGCUGUGUGAGUCGCUGGCUUCAGCAGAGCCCCACCUGCCCCGUGUGCAGAACACAAAUUCAUUAGAGCACUGCAAACUGAGGGACUAAGAGUUUCAGCCAUGACUACUCAUCAGAAAUUCUAUUUUAAUAAAACAUCCCAAAUAGA